UGCUAAUACCGAAUGUUGUGCAAUCUCCGCAUGGAGGAUGCAUUAAAGAUGGCCUCUACUUGUAAGCUAUCGCUUUGUGAUGGGUCUGCGUCCGAUUAGCUAGUUGGUGGGGUAACGGCCUACCAAGGCGACGAUCAGUAGCCGGUCUGAGAGGAUGAACGGCCACAUUGGAACUGAGACACGGUCCAGACUCUACGGGAGGCAGCAGUGGGGAAUCUUCCGCAAUGGGCGAAAGCCUGACGGAGCAACGCCGCGUGAGUGAAGAAGGGUUUCGGCUCGUAAAGCUCUGUUGACGGGGACGAAUGUGCGAGAUGCGAAUAGUUUCUUGCAAUGACGGUACCCGUCGAGGAAGCCACGGCUAACUACGUGCCAGCAGCCGCGGUAAUACGUAGGUGGCGAGCGUUGUCCGGAAUUAUUGGGCGUAAAGGGAGCGCAGGCGGGAAGGCAAGUCAGUCUUAAAAGUGCGGGGCUCAACCCCGUGAUGGGAUUGAAACUGUCUUUCUUGAGUGCAGGA
RNAcentral lists this ribosomal RNA (514 nucleotides) under uncultured rumen bacterium. Its description in RNAcentral is "bacterial SSU rRNA". It matches the Rfam family "Bacterial small subunit ribosomal RNA", at positions 161 to 653 of the family's 1533-position model. The record is from RNAcentral.